AGGCCUAACACAUGCAAGUCGAACGGCAGCACAGGAGAGCUUGCUCUUUGGGUGGCGAGUGGCGGACGGGUGAGGAAUACAUCGGAAUCUACUUUUUCGUGGGGGAUAACGUAGGGAAACUUACGCUAAUACCGCAUACGACCUACGGGUGAAAGCAGGGGACCUUCGGGCCUUGCGCGAUUGAAUGAGCCGAUGUCGGAUUAGCUAGUUGGCGGGGUAAAGGCCCACCAAGGCGACGAUCCGUAGCUGGUCUGAGAGGAUGAUCAGCCACACUGGAACUGAGACACGGUCCAGACUCCUACGGGAGGCAGCAGUGGGGAAUAUUGGACAAUGGGCGCAAGCCUGAUCCAGCCAUACCGCGUGGGUGAAGAAGGCCUUCGGGUUGUAAAGCCCUUUUGUUGGGAAAGAAAUCCAGCUGGCUAAUACCCGGUUGGGAUGACGGUACCCAAAGAAUAAGCACCGGCUAACUUCGUGCCAGCAGCCGCGGUAAUACGAAGGGUGCAAGCGUUACUCGGAAUUACUGGGCGUAAAGCGUGCGUAGGUGGUCGUUUAAGUCCGUUGUGAAAGCCCUGGGCUCAACCUGGGAACUGCAGUGGAUACUGGGCGACUAGAGUGUGGUAGAGGGUAGCGGAAUUCCUGGUGUAGCAGUGAAAUGCGUAGAGAUCAGGAGGAACAUCCAUGG
This 682-nucleotide ribosomal RNA is filed under the name Stenotrophomonas maltophilia. RNAcentral describes it as "bacterial SSU rRNA". It matches the Rfam family "Bacterial small subunit ribosomal RNA", at positions 44 to 715 of the family's 1533-position model. Lineage: Bacteria; Pseudomonadati; Pseudomonadota; Gammaproteobacteria; Lysobacterales; Lysobacteraceae. The record is from RNAcentral.